This 116-nucleotide ribosomal RNA is filed under the name uncultured bacterium. RNAcentral describes it as "partial 16S ribosomal RNA". It matches the Rfam family "Bacterial small subunit ribosomal RNA", at positions 394 to 524 of the family's 1533-position model. The record is from RNAcentral.
AGACCGCGUGAGGGAGGAAGGCCUAUUGGUUGUAAACCUCUUUUGAUAGGGAAGAACACAAUGACGGUACCUAUCGAAUCAGCAUCGGCUAACUCCGUGCCAGCAGCCGCGGUAAU